GACGAACGCUGGCGGCGUGCUUAACACAUGCAAGUCGAGCGGGGACACCAGAAGUUUUCGGACGGAAGGUGUUCCAGCGGCGGACGGGUGAGUAACGCGUGAGCAAUCUGUCCCAGACAGGGGAAUAACAGAUGGAAACAUCUGCUAAUACCGCAUAAGACCACGACCUCACAUGGGGUUGGGGUAAAAGGCGAAAGCCGGUUUGGGGUGAGCUCGCGUCCGAUUAGCUAGUGGCGGGGUAACGCCACAAGGCGACGAUCGGUAGCCGACCUGAGAGGGUGAUCGGCCACACUGGAACUGAGAAACGGUCCAGACUCCUACGGGAGGCAGCAGUGGGGAAUAUUGGGCAAUGGGGGAAACCCUGACCCAGCAACGCCGCGUGAGGGAAGAAGGUUUUCGGAUUGUAAACCUCUGUCCUUGGUGAAGAAGGAAGUGACGGUAGCCAAGGAGGAAGCCCCGGCUAACUACGUG
RNAcentral lists this ribosomal RNA (471 nucleotides) under uncultured bacterium. RNAcentral's name for it is "bacterial SSU rRNA". It matches the Rfam family "Bacterial small subunit ribosomal RNA", at positions 28 to 507 of the family's 1533-position model. The record is from RNAcentral.